GACGAACGCUGGCGGCGUGCCUAAUGCAUGCAAGUCGCACGCGGCACCUUCGGGUGCUGAGUGGCGAACGGCUGAGGAACAGGUGGGGACCUGUCCGGGAGUGGGGGACAACACCGCGAAAGCGGUGCUAAUCCCGCAUACGCUCUGAGGAGGAAAGCCGAAAGGCGCUCCCGGGUGGCCCUGCGGCCCAUCAGGUUGUUGGUGGGGUAAAGGCCUACCAAGCCAAUGACGCGUCGCUGGUCUGUGAGGACGCCCAGCCAGACUGGGACUGGGACACGGCCCAGACUCCUACGGGAGGCAGCAGAAAGGAAAUUUCGGCAAUGGGCGCAAGCCUGACCGGGCAACGCCGCGUGCAGGAAGACGGCUUUCGGGUUGUAAACUGCUUUUGCUAGGCAUGAUAACAGACAGUACCUGGCGAAUCAGCCCCGGCUAACUCCGUG
RNAcentral lists this ribosomal RNA (440 nucleotides) under uncultured bacterium. Its description in RNAcentral is "partial 16S ribosomal RNA". It matches the Rfam family "Bacterial small subunit ribosomal RNA", at positions 28 to 507 of the family's 1533-position model. The record is from RNAcentral.